UGGGGAAUAUUGGACAAUGGGCGAAAGCCUGAUCCAGCCAUGCCGCGUGUGUGAAGAAGGCCUUUUGGUUGUAAAGCACUUUAAGUGGGGAGGAAAAGCUUAUGGUUAAUACCCAUAAGCCCUGACGUUACCCACAGAAUAAGCACCGGCUAACUCUGUGCCAGCAGCCGCGGUAAUACAGAGGGUGCAAGCGUUAAUCGGAAUUACUGGGCGUAAAGCGCGCGUAGGUGGUUAUUUAAGUCAGAUGUGAAAGCCCCGGGCUUAACCUGGGAACUGCAUCUGAUACUAGAUAACUAGAGUAGGUGAGAGGGGAGUAGAAUUCCAGGUGUAGCGGUGAAAUGCGUAGAGAUCUGGAGGAAUACCGAUGGCGAAGGCAGCUCCCUGGCAUCAUACUGACACUGAGGUGCGAAAGCGUGGGUAGCAAACAGGAUUAGAUACCCUGGUAGUCCACGCCGUAAACGAUGUCUACCAGUCGUUGGGUCUUUUAAAGACUUAGUGACGCAGUUAACGCAAUAAGUAGACCGCCUGGGGAGUACGGCCGCAAGGUUA
RNAcentral lists this ribosomal RNA (549 nucleotides) under uncultured bacterium. RNAcentral describes it as "bacterial SSU rRNA". It matches the Rfam family "Bacterial small subunit ribosomal RNA", at positions 355 to 896 of the family's 1533-position model. The record is from RNAcentral.